CUUAAGAAAUACCUGAUGAUGAAGCCGGGCACGGUGGCUCACGCCAACACUUUGGGAGGCCGAGGUCCCAAGAUAAAGAACGCCAUUCAGGAAUCGUGCAGGCAUAGCUAGACCGGAUGGGCUUAUGUCAAAUGACUACAGUCAAGAUCCUGGUGCUUAGAGUGGGCAAAACCUGGAUCUCACUCCAUUGCUAAGGCUGGAGGAAAAAUGUGGCUUCCCUGGUAGC
Molecule: non-coding RNA, 226 nt
Filed under: Pongo abelii (Sumatran orangutan)
Lineage: Eukaryota; Metazoa; Chordata; Mammalia; Primates; Hominidae
Source: RNAcentral